Molecule: ribosomal RNA, 469 nt
Filed under: uncultured bacterium
Lineage: Bacteria
Description: partial 16S ribosomal RNA
Rfam family: Bacterial small subunit ribosomal RNA
Source: RNAcentral
GACGAACGCUGGCGGCGUGCUUAACACAUGCAAGUCGAACGGUGAAGCGAGUGCUUGCACUCGUGGAUCAGUGGCGAACGGGUGAGUAACACGUGAGUAACCUGCCCAUCACUCUGGGAUAAGCACUGGAAACGGUGUCUAAUACUGGAUACGACCAACCCUUGCAUGGGGUGUUGGUGGAAAGAUUUAUCGGUGAUGGAUGGACUCGCGGCCUAUCAGCUUGUGGGCGGGGUAAUGGCCCACCAAGGCGACGACGGGUAGCCGGCCUGAGAGGGUGACCGGCCACACUGGGACUGAGACACGGCCCAGACUCCUACGGGAGGCAGCAGUGGGGAAUAUUGCACAAUGGGCGAAAGCCUGAUGCAGCGACGCCGCGUGAGGGAUGACGGCCUUCGGGUUGUAAACCUCUUUCAGCAGGGAAGAAGCGAAAGUGACGGUACCUGCAGAAGAAGCACCGGCUAACUACGUG